GAUGAUCGAAGUGUCGUUAUUCCGAAUUGUAUGAUUCUGGAUUUGUAUAACAUUAUUUACAAAUGGAAAGAAGCUAAUCAAAUAGACUUCUGCGAGACACAAAACAACCUAUAUUCCUUAAUUGCCUGUGACGUAAGCUGGAAGUUGACCAGAGUUGAAACUUGGAUCCAUCAUUCAGAGGAUAACAAUUUUUUAACAAAUUUUUCUCAGAAGUCAAAUUCAAAGAUGCCUCUUUCGAGAUAGGAACUCUCCUGUUUAAGAGGUGGAAAUAGUUGACGUGGAGUUGAAUUUACAUCGU
Saccostrea echinata is the source of this 298-nucleotide long non-coding RNA. RefSeq lists it as uncharacterized. Lineage: Eukaryota; Metazoa; Mollusca; Bivalvia; Ostreida; Ostreidae. The record is from RefSeq and is a predicted model, not a curated record. The transcript is spliced from 3 exons.